RNAcentral lists this ribosomal RNA (659 nucleotides) under Actinomycetales bacterium A324. RNAcentral's name for it is "bacterial SSU rRNA". It matches the Rfam family "Bacterial small subunit ribosomal RNA", at positions 1 to 683 of the family's 1533-position model. The record is from RNAcentral. Lineage: Bacteria; Bacillati; Actinomycetota; Actinomycetes; Actinomycetales.
UGUUUGAAUUCCUGCUCAGGACGAACGCUGGCGGCGUGCUUAACACAUGCAAGUCGAACGAUGAAACCGCUUCGGUGGUGGAUUAGUGGCGAACGGGUGAGUAACACGUGGGCAAUCUGCCCUUCACUCUGGGACAAGCCCUGGAAACGGGGUCUAAUACCGGAUAACACUCUGUCCCGCAUGGGACGGGGUUGAAAGCUCCGGCGGUGAAGGAUGAGCCCGCGGCCUAUCAGCUUGUUGGUGGGGUAAUGGCCUACCAAGGCGACGACGGGUAGCCGGCCUGAGAGGGCGACCGGCCACACUGGGACUGAGACACGGCCCAGACUCCUACGGGAGGCAGCAGUGGGGAAUAUUGCACAAUGGGCGAAAGCCUGAUGCAGCGACGCCGCGUGAGGGAUGACGGCCUUCGGGUUGUAAACCUCUUUCAGCAGGGAAGAAGCGAAAGUGACGGUACCUGCAGAAGAAGCGCCGGCUAACUACGUGCCAGCAGCCGCGGUAAUACGUAGGGCGCAAGCGUUGUCCGGAAUUAUUGGGCGUAAAGAGCUCGUAGGCGGCUUGUCACGUCGGAUGUGAAAGCCCGGGGCUUAACCCCGGGUCUGCAUUCGAUACGGGCUAGCUAGAGUGUGGUAGGGGAGAUCGGAAUCCUGGGUAGCGGCAUG